UGGUUUCUCCCUUCUGAAGAACCAUGAUGUCAUUAAUUUGGCGUUGUGGGGAAUCAGGACUGUUACUUUGAAAAAAUUAGAGUGUUUAAAGCAGGCUUAGGCUUGAAUACAUUAGCAUGGAAUAAUGAAAUAGGACGCUUUGAUCCUAUUUCGUUGGUUUCUAGGAUCGACGUAAUGAUUAAUAGGGAUAGUUGGGGGCAUUAGUAUUCAAUUGUCAGAGGUGAAAUUCUUGGAUUUAUUGAAGACUAACUACUGCGAAAGCAUUUGCCAAGGAUGUUUUCAUUAAUCAAGAACGAAAGUUAGAGGAUCGAAGACGAUCAGAUACCGUCGUAGUCUUAACCAUAAACUAUGCCGACUAGGGAUCGGAUGAUGUUAAUUUUUUAAUGACUCAUUCGGCGCCUUACG
RNAcentral lists this ribosomal RNA (405 nucleotides) under uncultured Glomeromycotina. RNAcentral's name for it is "SSU rRNA". It matches the Rfam family "Eukaryotic small subunit ribosomal RNA", at positions 690 to 1092 of the family's 1831-position model. Lineage: Eukaryota; Fungi; Glomeromycota. The record is from RNAcentral.